RNAcentral lists this ribosomal RNA (207 nucleotides) under uncultured bacterium. Its description in RNAcentral is "partial 16S ribosomal RNA". It matches the Rfam family "Bacterial small subunit ribosomal RNA", at positions 568 to 774 of the family's 1533-position model. The record is from RNAcentral.
CGUGCAGGCGGGUUGGUAAGUCAGAUGUGAAAGCCCUGGGCUCAACCCAGGAAGUGCAUUUGAAACUGCCAUCCUUGAGUAUGGGAGAGGAGAGUGGAAUUCCCAAUGUAGAGGUGAAAUUCGUAGAUAUUGGGAGGAACACCCGUGGCGAAGGCGACUCUCUGGACCAAUACUGACGCUGAGACGCGAAAGCGUGGGGAGCGAACA